RNAcentral lists this unclassified non-coding RNA (19 nucleotides) under Mus musculus (house mouse). Its description in RNAcentral is "oocyte_clustered_small_RNA4432". The record is from RNAcentral. Lineage: Eukaryota; Metazoa; Chordata; Mammalia; Rodentia; Muridae.
CCAGUCUGCAGGCAAGCUA